RNAcentral lists this long non-coding RNA (1648 nucleotides) under Anas platyrhynchos platyrhynchos (common mallard). RNAcentral's name for it is "lncRNA (ENSAPLG00000019537.1)". Lineage: Eukaryota; Metazoa; Chordata; Aves; Anseriformes; Anatidae. The record is from RNAcentral.
ACCACACAAACAAAAAAUAGAAAAACAACACUGAUAGUGUCUUGUAUAAGGUCAUUCUCCUCUUCUUCCUGUUCCUCCGUGUUCCCCAGCCCUCUGCUUUCGGAGGCAGACAUGGAGAGACUCAAAUGGGUAGCAUGUCCCUGGGGGUGACAGGGUGGGAGAGCUGGGAGCAGAAGAGGUGAAGAGCAGCAGCUUUCUGAUGGGACAGUAGGAACAAUGAUCAUCUGGGGCAAUGACUGUGGGAACUGCACAUUGUGAAGAGCUGUGGCUGGAGCAACUGACUUAUUGGGGACCAUACUUCUGGGCUGUCCUGGGAAUCUGUAGAGCCUUCAGGGAGGAACAGGAAAGAGCAGCAGCUUGGUGUAUUCUUCAGCUGAUGAACAUCUGCUGCUGGAGAGAGAAUCUUGAACGUAUGCCACCCACCAAGCUCAGAAUUAAACCGAGCAGGAUUCUAAAGGCUGCCCAUUGCAGAGCACCCUUUAGGAGGCAGCCCCAGAGCAGUCAGGCUGCUGCACCCUUCCUGUCUGAGCAGUGUGCUGCUCUGGGAUGGCUUGGUUACCAAAACACCUACAGAAGUGGAGGUAAUUUGGCUUUGUCUUCUGCAAGCCUAACCCUGAACUUAAAUUGUCUGCAGAGCCCAGCACGUAACACCCAGCUGUCUGUAGGAUGAUUUUGAUGAUAAUCUGAGGAGUGCCCUAUUUAAUUUACCCAUGCAGUAGCAAUAUUUAGGGAUAGUGAAGCCCACAUGGAAGUGUAAUUCAGUACUGUACUGCUUUUAGAGAAAGCUGAAACAAUAUCCACCUGUUGCAGAGCAUACUUGAGCAUUUUCAGUUAUUAUUUCUGCUCCAUUUAAGGGGCUAAUACUGUGCUUGAGGGAAUGUAUUAAUCAUGCGUAAAGCAAUACUGGAAUUUGGUUACUAACGGGUUAGUUCUUGUUCAUAGCAGAUGCUCUCCAUAGCAGGAAGGCUUGGGAGGGGAAUUCACUGUUAAUAAUGCACUCUCCUGUUGUUGCAAUUGUUCUUUUUAUUAUUAUUAUUAUUAUUAUUAUUAUUAUUAUUAUUAUUAUUAUUUAUUUCUUUUUACUGAGCACACUAAUCAAGCUGUAUUAUAGUCAUGUGGGAGUGCAGCAUGACUAGUGCACUUCUGAGAGCCUGCUGCCAGGGAGUGCUGCACCAAACUCAGCACUUCCUGCCUUCCUCUUUUUUUUUUUUUUUUCCUCUGCUAAAGCAAACAUAAACCCCCAAAUCACUUCAUUUACAUAGUGCUGUCACUAGUCUCAUCACCUCUAACAACUUGGUAGGAACAGGAGUAUUUGAAGCAAUGUUUUAUGCACAGGCUAGAUUUCCCAUGGAAGUCAGUGGGUAACUUCCUUCAGCUGGCAAGGGAGCUGUUGUCACCAACUCAUUUCCUCUGUAAUGACCCUUCUCUUUCUGAAGUUUUGCUUGUUUUUAUGUACAGUUUCCACAGUAAUUUUUAUUGUUAAUUUUGUGUAGCAGCGAGCAGAGAAGUUUUUGUUUACAUAGCAUAAGACAUAAGCCAUUGUUGUGUUGAUCAUCCAUGAUGCUCAUUUCACAUCUCAUCUGUUAUAUGAGUGAAAUAUGAAAAUAAUUUUGUUUUUCUAGCAUAUCAGGAAUAAAAUGGCUUAAAC